CCACUAGGGGGGCGGAGAGUCGUCUGACCUUUUAGCGGGUGAUUCGUCCACCACUGGGGACUUAGCCCAGGGCCCCAGACUCCGUUCGGGACGCCAGCCGUUUGGGAAUCUUCCCGCAAUGGGACGAAAGUUUUAACGGAGCCAUCGCCGCGUGAGUGUUGUACGGUUUUUCGGGUGCAUAAAAAUCGGUUCACAUGGAAUUAACAAAUUGCCUGUUGUAUAAGCUGGGCACCCCGGCUGUACAUAACCCUAAAAGGCCCCGGUCAAGUACGUGUCCCCUCAGCCUUUAAAAAACAUCUGGGGCACGUUUUCUCCGAAUUUAUUGGGGAUAAAGCGCGCCCAGGUGGUUUUUUAAGUGGGAUGUGAAAGCCCUCGGCUCAACCGUGGAGGGUCAUUGGAAACUGGGAGACUUGAGUGCAGAAGAGGAAAGUGGAAUUCCAUGUGUAGCGGUGAAAUGCGUAGAGAUAUGGAGGAACACCAGUGGCGAAGGCGACUUUCUGGUCUGUAACUGACACUGAGGCGCGAAAGCGUGGGGAGCAAACAGGAUUAGAUACCCUGGUAGUCCACGCCGUAAACGAUGAGUGCUAAGUGUUAGAGGGUUUCCGCCCUUUAGUGCUGAAGUUAACGCAUUAAGCACUCCGCCUGGGGAGUACGGCCGCAAGGCUGAAACUCAAAGGAAUUGACGGGGGCCCGCACAAGC
RNAcentral lists this ribosomal RNA (700 nucleotides) under Bacillus wiedmannii. RNAcentral describes it as "bacterial SSU rRNA". It matches the Rfam family "Bacterial small subunit ribosomal RNA", at positions 265 to 930 of the family's 1533-position model. The record is from RNAcentral. Lineage: Bacteria; Bacillati; Bacillota; Bacilli; Caryophanales; Bacillaceae.